AAGUCGUAACAAGGUUUCCGUAGGUGAACCUGCGGAAGGAUCAUUACUGAGUUAGGGUGCCCUCAGCGCCCGACCUCCAACCCUUUGUCUACUUGACCUUUUGUUGCUUCGGCAGGCCCGCUGGACCUCCCCUCGCGGGGAGGCCCGGCCGCCGGGGGCCCUUACCGGCUCCGGGUCCGCGCCUGUCGAUGGCCGUCAUCAAAACUCUUGUUAAAAACCAUGUCGUCUGAGUAAACAAACAAAUUAAAACAAAACUUUCAACAACGGAUCUCUUGGUUCUG
This 281-nucleotide unclassified non-coding RNA is filed under the name Cyphellophora suttonii. Its description in RNAcentral is "partial internal transcribed spacer region". The stretch from base 1 to 46 matches the Rfam family "Eukaryotic small subunit ribosomal RNA", at positions 1786 to 1831 of the family's 1831-position model. The record is from RNAcentral. Lineage: Eukaryota; Fungi; Ascomycota; Eurotiomycetes; Chaetothyriales; Cyphellophoraceae.